AAAAGAGAGAAAAAAAACAGAUUAAAAAAGUUUCAAACACAAGAAACAAAAGCCUAACGAGCAUUUAGAGUAUUUUUCCUGACACAGAACUAAGAUAAUUGAAACUCCCUGUGGAGGAGGAUUCCAAGAGAACUCGGCCCUGGAAAGAUCAAGAUCCCGCAUCAAGUGGUGCUCCGUGUGUGUGUGUGUCAGUAAGAGCUCAAAGAAGACUCGAUCAACACCUGCCUGGACCAGAGCAGCUGGUUCCUGAAAGAAAGAUGUCCGGACAAAUAUAUCUGCUAUCAACUUCCAGAGUUCCAAGGGCCCAGGACUUGGAAACAUCGGAUUCUGCUGGUCAGUAAUCCACAGAGAUAGCCACCGGGUCUGUACGUCAGAGGAGCCAGAGAGAGGGACAGCAGGACCCAGACGCCGCCCUCUGAUGAAACUGACCGCCUACAGAUGAUGUCAGAAAAGGCUAGUACAGAAAGGUCUUCCCAGCAGGCAGACCCAAAAGCUCCCCAAGAGGCAGGGCCAGAGGCUGCCCAAGAGGCGGAGCCACAAAAUGCGGAUACGGUGGAACAGCUGGACCAUGAAGCAUUGCAAACCCCACCCAAAAGGGGGAGUUCGGGGCAGUGCCAAAAAGCCUUCCCCGUCGCGCAGCAAAAGCAACUAAGGGGCUGGCCAAAAUCGCUAAGCCACGCCCUGCUGCUGGACCAAUGACACUAUCGAUGACACGGAGGCCCCAGCCCACCGAGGCGGAGGCUGGCACUGCCCCCCGUCAAGCCGCGCAUGCACCUUCUCUCAUUCGUGUCGAUGUUACGCAAUCCGUGUGUGAAAAUAACCUGGAAAUGGGGAAAAUAGUUACGAUUCCUGUUCAGAGUCCAGUUUCUGGCACAAGCAGCAUUCACCUUAAAAGGGUUUUAUCUCCUAAAAAGGAGUUUCUCCCUAAAUAUAGGCUUUUAGAACUUUUUUCUCAGGUUCAUAUCCAGUCUUAAUUACAGGUGACUAUAAAAUCGGACAAAAGAGCUGAUUUGUGGAGCAACAGCGCCACCUUGUGGGCAAACUUCAUCACCACAGCCUUCAACUUCUACAUUUGUAAGUCAGCAUGUAUCAGAUGACAACAUAAUAUCUAUCACUGCUGGUGAAGGGAUUCCUCUGUCAUCGAUUCAAAUACCAGAUUUUCUGCUUCAAGACGAUAUUUCAGCUUUUCAAAAGACUGCUCCAAAGGACUGGUUCUUAGGACAGCACAUCUCUUCUUUGACAAGAUUACAAUUUUCUCCACUUCUUCAAGACUUAAUGGAUGCUGUGUGCAGCCAAAAUCCACAACCAGUGGGUUUUUCUACCAUACCUACAGCUCCUCAACAACCAAAGCUACAAUCUAUAUCAAUUCUCCCUCAAAGAGAAGGGGGAGGACCUGAUAUGCAGGUACGUUUCAAGAAAGGAGGUGAUGCUUUCAGAAAAAUUGAGGACAUUACUGUGCUGCCAGUGAGGCUUCGAAGAAGAGAUAAUGUUCCUAGAUGGGAGCCUGUGGAUCAUUUGCUUUUAAAGGAUUUAUUGGAUGCUGUGGAAAGAAAAGGACUUGGUUCUCCAUAUUUUAAACAGUUAUUAAAAGGUCUUUUCCGCAGUCAUGAAAUGUUGCCAUAUGUCUGCAAAUAUAUAGCCUCAACAAUUUUCACAGAUUUGCAAUAUAUACUGUGGAGUUCAAGAUGGAGAAAAGCUCUCCUUGAACUGAGCAACAAAUAUGCCAGGGGACCAUGUGCAGACAUCACAGGGGCUCAAAUGGCAAGAGACGUGCCGCAUCAUAAGCCAGAAACUCAAAUAGUAGACCUGCCUGCAGAAGUGCUUCAAGAUGUUGUAGAAGCAGCUGAGCAGCAGUUUCAGCAAAUAGCAGGCAUGAACCUGUGGAUUUGGGACAUGUCAACACGAAGUCCAGCAUCCCUGGGCUGCUUUCCACAAAAUAGCUGAAAGGCAGAAAUCAAGCAACAAGAAGCCAUGUUUCAGAUGUGGGAAACAUGGACACAGAAAAAAAUGUGCCUUCAGAGCACAGAGCCUUCAGGAAACACAAAAGCACCAGGUCUUUGCCUAAGAUACAGAGGAGGAAGACAUUAUGCAAGCCAAUGUCACUCAAAAAGAGAUGCAGAUUGAAAACUCCUACCCCUUCCAGGGAAUGGGAAGAGAAGUACACAAGUAAUGACAGUGACUCAGCAAUCCGACAUCCCUCAAGGAACACAAUCUGUGGGGAGCUCCAAUCAAACUCCAUCUGCAGAACCAUCUACAGCUUCCCAAGCAAUCGAGAACUGAUAACCCUAAGAAUUCUUUGACCUUAUAUGUCAUCCAAAAGAUGUAUUUUCCAUCCUAAAGCAUCAAGGAAUGAGAACCCUUGCGAAGAUACCAUUGAAAAGUCCUUAUUCAAAGACCAGAGAACAGCCAUCAGUGAUGAACGUGCAUCACUCUUUGACGUACUAAUAGGAGAAGGCAACAUUGAAUCUCCUGGAACCUUCACACCUGAAGCUCAGGAGGUCCUUAAGAAGGUCAUUGAAGGUCUUCAGAAGAGAUAGGUGCAUUGUUGUGCUGUGCCACAACCAUUCUUUCUUACAGUGCUAAAAAGAAACAUGCAACUAUGGUCUCAUAUCUCAAUGAGAUACCUCAAAGAAAAAUUGAUUGUUAAUAAUAGAAUGGAUUUUUUCCCCACAGGUCCUUCAGAAACAAUUUUCACAAUAAUAAAAAGAAUAAUACAAACCAUAUUUGAGGCGAAAAUUAAAUGGUCGACAAUAACAGGCAAAAAUCUUGUAAUAAUUUAUCUACCUUUAAAAAAAAGGACAUUUUAAUUAGGCAAUGUAAAAAUCAAAAGCACUGUAAGUUGCAUUGCUGGCUAAUCUGCAAAUUGUUGUAGUCAUAAUUAAGCUUCAGAGAGAAACCCUUAUUGAAUGAAGCAUCUUCAAAAAUAAAUAAAAAAGUUUAUAGGUACUGCAUAAUAGAAUACAUAUAGAUAUUGCAUUUUUGAUAAUAUCUGCUGGUUUUGCUUUUAUAAAUAACAUGAAAAAUUAUGAUAGUUAUUCAUCACAAGAAAUUUAAAGUAUUCUUGCUUUGCUUCAAUAUUCUCAAUGCAUGAAAUUUUAAAAAUGUUAUCUUCUCUAUUAAUCUACUGCUAGUGUAGCACUGUAUAAUAUAAAGUUAUAUAAAGAAAUAUUAUAUAUAUAUAAGGUGAUCGCCAAGUAUUACUGAUGUAAUUACAACUUCUGCAAAAUGCAUUUCCUUAAAAUUGAAUUGAGAGAUUACAUAGUUAACCAUGAGCAGGUUUUUUUCAUUCUUUAAUCUUUUCCUUCUUUCAAAUAAGUAUAUUAUAGAUUUAAUUCAACACAGUUUUCAGUACUUUCAAAGUUAAACUGAAAAAGAUCCAAAUAACAGAUAAUUGAUUAAAUUCUAAUUGUUAGGAAUUUUGUUUAAGAAAAGUAAGCUAAGGGCAUCCCUCCAGUUUGAAGCUGAGGCCCUGGCCAAGCCUCAACUUUAGCUGGAUGGAGAAUUUACCAAUAAACCCAGAUGUUUUCUGCAUCAAAACAAUAUUCAAAUCAGUCAAUAAAUUAAUAUAGCACUGGAUCUUUACAGUGAGCUUGGAGAAUUGUUAUCUGGACAUAAUUUUCCAAUCUGUCACUGAUUUAUCAGCUGUUGCAGACUCUGGGAUGAUAGUACAUUUUAUACAUAUACAAUCAAUCUAUACUAUAGAUUAUUCAGAUCUUAUAAUAUCGCAUAAUAUCAAUUAUGCAUCUUAACAAGUUCUUGAUUGCUGUAAAAGUGUUAUAUACUAUAUGUAUACAUGUACAUGUGUUCUACUUUGAUGGUUUUUCAUGUUCAAAACGAGAAAACAGAUACCUUUAAUUACAAAAAAAUAAGGGGAAACAGAUGCUAUGCCUCAGAAGCAUAAAAACCUUAUAUAUUUUAAAUUUUAUGAAAAAGCGUAAAAAUCUUAUCUAUAUUGCAAAUUUUCUGAACGGCUCUUUCUGAACAGUUCUUUUACAAAACCAAGUCUGCCAAUUAUCAGGUAUUCUUCUAAUGGUACUCAAGUGAAAUUGGGAGAAAAUCCUUUGGUUUUGAUUAGAAAUUUAGAGUCAGCACGGAUUGAAGGUCCAUUUCAACUAAUCACCUGGGGAAAAGGGUAUGCUUGUGUCUCCACAGGUUCAAGGACCGAAGUGAGUUCCCGCAAAGCAUGUGAAACCAUAUCAAGCUGAGAAGCAAGCAGACGGAGACCCCGGAAACCGAGAAGCAAGCACACAGAUGUGAUCCAGCAUGAAGACAGCAUCUGGCAGCUUGAACAUCAGACAACCUGCAUGUGGAAAUUUGUGGACUGGGAACUCUGUGAGGGAGGGUUGUUCAGACAUCUGAGAAUUCUUAUGAAAGAUGGGGCUGUUGAACAAGAAGAUCAAUCAGUUAUUGUA
This is a non-coding RNA of Cyanistes caeruleus (blue tit), 4412 nucleotides long. NCBI's taxonomy places the organism in Eukaryota, Metazoa, Chordata, Aves, Passeriformes, Paridae. The record is from RefSeq and is a predicted model, not a curated record.